UGAAGUCCUUGCCUAUGCCUAUGUCCUGCAUGGUUUUGCCUAGGUUUUCUUCUGGGCUUUUUAUGGUGUUAGGUCUUAUGUUUAAGUCUUUAAUCCAUCUGGAGUUAAUUUUAGAUACAGUGUAAGGAAGGGGUCCAGUUUCAGCUUUCUGCAUAUGGCUAGCCAGUU
Molecule: long non-coding RNA, 168 nt
Organism: Cebus imitator (Panamanian white-faced capuchin)
Lineage: Eukaryota; Metazoa; Chordata; Mammalia; Primates; Cebidae
Exons: 3
Source: RefSeq, a predicted model, not a curated record